This 492-nucleotide long non-coding RNA is filed under the name Marmota monax (woodchuck). The record is from RNAcentral. Lineage: Eukaryota; Metazoa; Chordata; Mammalia; Rodentia; Sciuridae.
CACUCAGUGGUCAUUGUGAGCCUAGCAAGCUGCAGGCCCUGGGCUCGUCCCCAGCUCCGGGCAGUGGGGGCCCUUGGCAUCCACGGCUCAUGGAUCAGGUUGCUUCUACAAGUGGAAGCUAGGCUGCGGGGCCCAGCUCCCUCCACUGGGAAACAGCAUUCGUUUGGGAAGGAGGGUUACCUGCCCCAUGAACUCUCUGACCAAAUAAGAUGCACUGUGGUGCGCCUUUUAGCCCCGUGCGGGGGUAAAAGAUCAGUGGUUCUUCUCCCUGAGCCUCUCCAAACAGGUGCCAUGUUUUAAGACCUCGUCCACCCUCAGUGGCACACUCCACCUCCAAUCCACACACACGGGAGGACACGGCUACGUCUCAGUCUGGAUCCAGGAUGUUUCAUGCCAGUUGUUCAUCUGACUGUCAUUUAAACAUCCCUCACCUUCAUCAAAGAACCUGACACACAAUAGGUUGUCAAUAAAUAGGAAUGCGCGUUCAUGCAC